This 460-nucleotide ribosomal RNA is filed under the name uncultured bacterium. Its description in RNAcentral is "partial 16S ribosomal RNA". It matches the Rfam family "Bacterial small subunit ribosomal RNA", at positions 338 to 795 of the family's 1533-position model. The record is from RNAcentral.
CCUACGGGAGGCAGCAGUGAGGAAUAUUGGUCAAUGGACGGAAGUCUGAACCAGCCAUGCCGCGUGCAGGAAGACGGCUCUAUGAGUUGUAAACUGCUUUUGUACAAGGGUAAACCUGAAUGCGUGUAUUCAGCUGAAAGUACUGUACGAAUAAGGAUCGGCGAACUCCGUGCCAGCAGCCGCGGUAAUACGGAGGAGCCAAGCGUUAUCCGGAUUUAUUGGGUUUAAAGGGCUCGUAGGCGGUAUGUCAAGUCAAGAGUGAAAUCCCCGCGCUCAACGUGGGAACUGCCUUUGAAACUGGCAACCUUGAGUGUGUGAGAGGAUAGUGGAAUUCCAGGUGUAGGGGUGAAAUCCGUAGAUAUCUGGAGGAACAUCAGUGGCGAAGGCGACUAUCUGGCACAUAACUGACGCUGAGGAGCGAAAGCGUGGGUAGCAAACAGGAUUAGAUACCCGGGUAGUC